This 29-nucleotide non-coding RNA is filed under the name Mus musculus (house mouse). Lineage: Eukaryota; Metazoa; Chordata; Mammalia; Rodentia; Muridae. The record is from RNAcentral.
UGUCUACCGGUUCCGCAGUGGUAGAAAGG